Molecule: long non-coding RNA, 2985 nt
Organism: Lycium ferocissimum
Lineage: Eukaryota; Viridiplantae; Streptophyta; Magnoliopsida; Solanales; Solanaceae
Exons: 3
Source: RefSeq, a predicted model, not a curated record
GUAGUGAAGGGCGAAUCUAGAAUUUACAGUUAGUUAAGUCAUCAUGCGAAUUAUUUUAGUAUAUUUCCACACAUUUAAAAUGUAUUUUAGACAUGAAAACAUUAUGUAAGACGAAAGUAAAGAAUUCAACUGGCGUCACAAAACUAGUGCAAAAUCCACAUCUUAGGCAACUCCCAAUCAAAUGCAUAAAUAAGAUUUGACAAUGCAAGUUUCACGGAUGCAAUUCUAAGUGUAAUCCCCGGACAUCCUCUUCUUCCUGCUCCAAAUGAAAUUAGGUUAUAGUCUUGUCCGUUGAGAUCGAUAUCACUAUUCAAGAAUCUCUCAGUUCUGCUAGUGUCUGAUCCAGCAACUAACACAUGCUACACAAAAAUUGACGAGGAAGAAGAUAAAAAUUGCCAAUGCAUGAGAAAUUCUCAAGAUAAUAAUUAACCCAUUGACCCACCCAUGUUUUAUGCAACCCACAUAUUUUCCUCCUCUACAUCUGUAAAAAUGUAGUAAUUGCACUUUCUUGAAACUAAAUAGAUGAAGCACACAAAAUUUUCUCAUUUCCCUCCAAUAGUUGUUAUACACAAAGUUAUUGGUAUUAAUUUUUUAUAUUUGUGAUAUAUGAUUAAGAACUUCUUUUACUGUCUGUUAAUUAACAUGUGUGUCUUUGCUUAUAUAGAAAACUAGUCUUCGGCACGUGCGUUGCACGUGUGCCCCAUUUUUAUUUGUGUUGAUUAAUUUGAACUAUACACACACACACACACAUUUUAUGAAGACAGUCGUGUUAUGAUACAGAAAAUACACCAUAUGCAAUUUUCAAUUUUCUAGAAGAUUGAAAAAAAAAUGUUGUAGCUUCUCCGUUUGAAAAAACUACAGAGAUCCUAAGCUCACUCAAGUUUCAGCUAAUGACCUUAAAGCACAGCUCAGGGGAACAACUUUACUGCUGAAAUCUGAUUUUAGUUGGGGCAUUCAAAACCUCUUCAAAAGAGAAGUAGCAUAAUAAUUUUGUGACAUGUUCAUUUAAGGGUGAAGCAUGUUACUGAUACCUAUCAUCCUUUUUUUAAAAACAAAAUGUCAGCAUCAAGAUGUCUUGAAUCCACACAUCAAGAAGUGAACAAACACUGAACUGGCAGGGAAAUUUAAUGUAAAUGGAUAGAGGAACUUGGUGACCUGGUAUGAGAAAAUAUCAAGCAUCCACUCCAAAUACUAUUUUCAAUAUCAAAUUAGCACGUAUAAUUUCAUGUGCCUCCUUUAUGUUCUGGCCAAAUGAAAUUUAGUUACAUUGUAAAGCAAGGCUAGAACUUUUCUGUCGUAGUGUUGUAAAUGUGUGUCGUUCAAUAUCAAAGUUUCACUGCAUGGCAUCUCGCAUCCCAACAACAUCCGUCACAUAAAACUUCACACAGUAGUUUUUUUUUAUCUUUUCCUUCUUCCAAUAACAAUAAAUGCAAUUAGAGACCAAGUACACAAACACAUAGAGCUUUACUUGCAUAUAUCAAAUAAAUAAAUGUAUGUCCCUUUUCUAACACAAACUUAACCUUCUAGACAGAGGCGGACCCAGGAUCUUGACGCAGAGGGGGCAUCAAUGAUCGCCCACUGCCUUAAUAUAAAUAUGUCACUUAUUAUGUAAAAGUUUGGCAUGCAACUCUUUGAAAACUUAAGAAUUAUGCUAAGUUAUUGGUAAAGCAGUAGUAUAAAGUAUAAAUUUCAAAAUUGGAAGAAACAAAAAUAGGUUUAGAACGGAAACAAAACAAACUCAACAAAAAAUAGAAAUAAAGGUACUGCAAGCGAGACUCGAACCUACGUGUCAUAUAAGGACCUAAGGGGCACAACAACCAAAUGCACCAAAGCAAUGGAUAUCUCUCAGGGGUCCUUUUAAAUACAUAUAUAUUUUUUAAGGUAUAUACAUCAUAUAUGUAUAGGAUAUUUCUGAGGUUAGGGGGGACACGUGACCCCCCCCCCCUCCUAAUAGGGUGGGUUCGCCCCUACUUCUAGAUAAAACAAUUUACAAAAUAAGGAAAAAGAAACAGACGAAUAUUACCAAAUCGCAAACUAUCACGCUUGAAGUCUGAUUUUGACAAAACAAUCUCAUCCAGAGGAUACAAAGAGCGCACUAAACUCAGGCAGCUGUUCCUUCCCCUACCUCCUCGUAGAAUGUGUAAUGCUAUGAUCCAAUCAAAUACUUCUUCUUGUCCAUUAUUCAAAACGGUCUCUUGUGCCGAUUGCACAAACACCUCAAUACUAUUGAACGCCAAGUAACCACAAACAAAUAUAGCUCAUUUGGAUCCCUAAAUUCUUCAUUAACCAAAGCAUAAACCAAAAAACUUUUUUUAAAACUUUUCAAAGUACUUACAAACUGACUCGAACAUGUUCAGUCACUUAAAAAGUACAAUUAUUAAAACCAGAUCCUUAAGAGAAAAAGAAGAUAACUUAGAACAUGAAAUCAGCAAUACAUAGCAGAGCUAAAUAGAGAGUCACAAACAUGAAAUCCCUGUCCAACAAAAACACACAAAGAUAGCCAAAAUAAAAACCGAAAGAAGUGCUACUCGCUCUAUCCCAAUGUAAGUGGCCUUUCGGAUUUCGAGAAUCAAACUUCUAAAUUUUGACCGUGAAUCCAUACAUAAGAGCUUUUAAGUUUUUCGAAAUAAAAUUCACAUAUUUGAAAACAGUACAUAAAAAUAGUACUAUAAAUCAGAAUAAUCAGCAUUUCAGAAUAUUCACUUCAAAGAAACUGAAAUUAGCUAUGAACUCGUCCCUAAUUCGUCGCUAAAGAUCUCUUGUGUUUAAAAUCGGUACCACAAACACAUAGCCAAUGUUACCCACAAUUUUUCUCAGGAGUUCUCCGGUCUCCUUUGGCGGUGAAAACAAAGUACCAGAAAACAAAAGUAACAAAAUAAUAGCAGUGACAUACAUACCUGGAGAACGUGUAUUUGAGCCAAAGAAAUAAGAUAAUUGACAAACACAUCGUCUUAUGGUGGACAUUUAUAUAGAGCAACAGAGAAU